UGGGGAAUUUUGGGCAAUGGGGGGAACCCUGACCCAGCGACGCCGCGUGAGUGAAGAAAUUCCUCGGAAUGUAAAGCUCUGUUGUAUGGGAAGAUAAUGACGGUACCAUACGAGGAAGCCCCGGCAAACUACGUGCCAGCAGCCGCGGUAAUACGUAGGGGGCAAGCGUUGUCCGGAAUUACUGGGCGUAAAGCGCACGCAGGCGGAAUUGUAAGUCCGUUGUAAAAUUCAGAGGCUCAACCUCUGUCUGUCGGCGGAUACUGCAAAUCUAGAGUAUGUGAGAGGGAAGUGGAAUUCCUGGUGUAGCGGUGAAAUGCGUAGGUAUCAGGAGGAACUCCGGUGGCGAAGGCGACUUCCUGGCACAAGACUGACGCUCAUGUGCGAAAGCUAGGGUAGCGAA
Molecule: ribosomal RNA, 400 nt
Filed under: uncultured bacterium
Lineage: Bacteria
Description: bacterial SSU rRNA
Rfam family: Bacterial small subunit ribosomal RNA
Source: RNAcentral